GUGGCAUAAUUUUUUUAUAUAUCUUUUUAAAAGGGACGUGCUUCAUGCUCCUAAUUCUAUUCCUUUAGUUUAUCCACAAUGUGUAUAAUUUUUCAUCAGUUUCAAAAUUGUCUCCCUAAAAGUUCUUUUACCUAAAUCCACCCCUCCUAAAGAAAAAAAAAAAACAUAAAAACAAAUACAGCCAAGUGAUGAGCGAGAGAGAAGUCGGAGUAGGCAACAGACGAAGGCAAGUAGUCUCCAUACAUUUUGUUGAUAUAUAUCAGAUGGAGCUCAGUAUUCGUCCUACAUACUAUAGGACUCUUAGGAGUUUCAUUAAUUCUGUCAUUUCAAGUUCAACAAAAAUUUUGAAGAUUCCGAGUUUAUUUUUUGGUAAUUUAACUCUUGGGUUUCUCUCUCAUUUCGAGUUCAACAAGCAUUUUGAAAAAAGAUGUUGGGAGAACUCAUCGCCAGCAGUCUAGUGUAUGUGAUGGUAAUUUGAGGAAUCUUUGCAGGGCUGAUGUUUUAGAGAAUUGAAGACUCAAAAGAAAAGGAAGGUAAGGUUGUACAUCUGAGUGAAGCUCAACGCAAGGUUUAACUCUUCUGUUUUGCAUCUUAAUAUGAUUCUUUUGGAAUCUGCUAUAAAGAAAAAAUGUGCAGAAAUAGCAUAACAAUCUUUGUUAAUUGAGAAUUAUCUCUUUUUCACUUUGGUGACAAUUUAUAUUCUCGAUAGAUUCACAUGUUGAUGUGGUGUA
Long non-coding RNA from Lycium ferocissimum, 731 nucleotides. RefSeq lists it as uncharacterized. The record is from RefSeq and is a predicted model, not a curated record. The transcript is spliced from 3 exons. NCBI's taxonomy places the organism in Eukaryota, Viridiplantae, Streptophyta, Magnoliopsida, Solanales, Solanaceae.